This 2899-nucleotide ribosomal RNA is filed under the name Escherichia coli. Its description in RNAcentral is "23S ribosomal RNA". It matches the Rfam family "Bacterial large subunit ribosomal RNA". The record is from RNAcentral. Lineage: Bacteria; Pseudomonadati; Pseudomonadota; Gammaproteobacteria; Enterobacterales; Enterobacteriaceae.
UUAAGCGACUAAGCGUACACGGUGGAUGCCCUGGCAGUCAGAGGCGAUGAAGGACGUGCUAAUCUGCGAUAAGCGUCGGUAAGGUGAUAUGAACCGUUAUAACCGGCGAUUUCCGAAUGGGGAAACCCAGUGUGUUUCGACACACUAUCAUUAACUGAAUCCAUAGGUUAAUGAGGCGAACCGGGGAACUGAAACAUCUAAGUACCCCGAGGAAAAGAAAUCAACCGAGAUUCCCCCAGUAGCGGCGAGCGAACGGGGAGCAGCCCAGAGCCUGAAUCAGUGUGUGUGUUAGUGGAAGCGUCUGGAAAGGCGCGCGAUACAGGGUGACAGCCCCGUACACAAAAAUGCACAUGCUGUGAGCUCGAUGAGUAGGGCGGGACACGUGGUAUCCUGUCUGAAUAUGGGGGGACCAUCCUCCAAGGCUAAAUACUCCUGACUGACCGAUAGUGAACCAGUACCGUGAGGGAAAGGCGAAAAGAACCCCGGCGAGGGAGUGAAAAAGAACCUGAAACCGUGUACGUACAAGCAGUGGGAGCCUCUUUAUGGGGUGACUGCGUACCUUUUGUAUAAUGGGUCAGCGACUUAUAUUCUGUAGCAAGGUUAACCGAAUAGGGGAGCCGAAGGGAAACCGAGUCUUAACUGGGCGUUAAGUUGCAGGGUAUAGACCCGAAACCCGGUGAUCUAGCCAUGGGCAGGUUGAAGGUUGGGUAACACUAACUGGAGGACCGAACCGACUAAUGUUGAAAAAUUAGCGGAUGACUUGUGGCUGGGGGUGAAAGGCCAAUCAAACCGGGAGAUAGCUGGUUCUCCCCGAAAGCUAUUUAGGUAGCGCCUCGUGAAUUCAUCUCCGGGGGUAGAGCACUGUUUCGGCAAGGGGGUCAUCCCGACUUACCAACCCGAUGCAAACUGCGAAUACCGGAGAAUGUUAUCACGGGAGACACACGGCGGGUGCUAACGUCCGUCGUGAAGAGGGAAACAACCCAGACCGCCAGCUAAGGUCCCAAAGUCAUGGUUAAGUGGGAAACGAUGUGGGAAGGCCCAGACAGCCAGGAUGUUGGCUUAGAAGCAGCCAUCAUUUAAAGAAAGCGUAAUAGCUCACUGGUCGAGUCGGCCUGCGCGGAAGAUGUAACGGGGCUAAACCAUGCACCGAAGCUGCGGCAGCGACGCUUAUGCGUUGUUGGGUAGGGGAGCGUUCUGUAAGCCUGUGAAGGUGUGCUGUGAGGCAUGCUGGAGGUAUCAGAAGUGCGAAUGCUGACAUAAGUAACGAUAAAGCGGGUGAAAAGCCCGCUCGCCGGAAGACCAAGGGUUCCUGUCCAACGUUAAUCGGGGCAGGGUGAGUCGACCCCUAAGGCGAGGCCGAAAGGCGUAGUCGAUGGGAAACAGGUUAAUAUUCCUGUACUUGGUGUUACUGCGAAGGGGGGACGGAGAAGGCUAUGUUGGCCGGGCGACGGUUGUCCCGGUUUAAGCGUGUAGGCUGGUUUUCCAGGCAAAUCCGGAAAAUCAAGGCUGAGGCGUGAUGACGAGGCACUACGGUGCUGAAGCAACAAAUGCCCUGCUUCCAGGAAAAGCCUCUAAGCAUCAGGUAACAUCAAAUCGUACCCCAAACCGACACAGGUGGUCAGGUAGAGAAUACCAAGGCGCUUGAGAGAACUCGGGUGAAGGAACUAGGCAAAAUGGUGCCGUAACUUCGGGAGAAGGCACGCUGAUAUGUAGGUGAAGCGACUUGCUCGUGGAGCUGAAAUCAGUCGAAGAUACCAGCUGGCUGCAACUGUUUAUUAAAAACACAGCACUGUGCAAACACGAAAGUGGACGUAUACGGUGUGACGCCUGCCCGGUGCCGGAAGGUUAAUUGAUGGGGUCAGCGCAAGCGAAGCUCUUGAUCGAAGCCCCGGUAAACGGCGGCCGUAACUAUAACGGUCCUAAGGUAGCGAAAUUCCUUGUCGGGUAAGUUCCGACCUGCACGAAUGGCGUAAUGAUGGCCAGGCUGUCUCCACCCGAGACUCAGUGAAAUUGAACUCGCUGUGAAGAUGCAGUGUACCCGCGGCAAGACGGAAAGACCCCGUGAACCUUUACUAUAGCUUGACACUGAACAUUGAGCCUUGAUGUGUAGGAUAGGUGGGAGGCUUUGAAGUGUGGACGCCAGUCUGCAUGGAGCCGACCUUGAAAUACCACCCUUUAAUGUUUGAUGUUCUAACGUUGACCCGUAAUCCGGGUUGCGGACAGUGUCUGGUGGGUAGUUUGACUGGGGCGGUCUCCUCCUAAAGAGUAACGGAGGAGCACGAAGGUUGGCUAAUCCUGGUCGGACAUCAGGAGGUUAGUGCAAUGGCAUAAGCCAGCUUGACUGCGAGCGUGACGGCGCGAGCAGGUGCGAAAGCAGGUCAUAGUGAUCCGGUGGUUCUGAAUGGAAGGGCCAUCGCUCAACGGAUAAAAGGUACUCCGGGGAUAACAGGCUGAUACCGCCCAAGAGUUCAUAUCGACGGCGGUGUUUGGCACCUCGAUGUCGGCUCAUCACAUCCUGGGGCUGAAGUAGGUCCCAAGGGUAUGGCUGUUCGCCAUUUAAAGUGGUACGCGAGCUGGGUUUAGAACGUCGUGAGACAGUUCGGUCCCUAUCUGCCGUGGGCGCUGGAGAACUGAGGGGGGCUGCUCCUAGUACGAGAGGACCGGAGUGGACGCAUCACUGGUGUUCGGGUUGUCAUGCCAAUGGCACUGCCCGGUAGCUAAAUGCGGAAGAGAUAAGUGCUGAAAGCAUCUAAGCACGAAACUUGCCCCGAGAUGAGUUCUCCCUGACUCCUUGAGAGUCCUGAAGGAACGUUGAAGACGACGACGUUGAUAGGCCGGGUGUGUAAGCGCAGCGAUGCGUUGAGCUAACCGGUACUAAUGAACCGUGAGGCUUAACCUU